Molecule: ribosomal RNA, 253 nt
Filed under: uncultured bacterium
Lineage: Bacteria
Description: partial 16S ribosomal RNA
Rfam family: Bacterial small subunit ribosomal RNA
Source: RNAcentral
UACAGAGACUGCAAGCGUUGUUCGGAUUCACUGGGCGUAAAGGGUGCGCAGGCGGCCGGGUGUGUCGGGUGUGAAAGCUCGAGGCUUAACCUCGAAAUUGCGCCCGAAACUAUUCGGCUAGAGUACUGGAGAGGGAAGCGGAAUUCACGGUGUAGCAGUGAAAUGCGUAGAUAUCGUGAGGAACACCAAUGGCGAAGGCAGCUUCCUGGACAGUUACUGACGCUCAGAGACGAAGGCCAGGGGAGCAAAAAGG